UCAAGAGAAGUACAGCACAGGCAGUGAGAGUGCAACCUUUUCCCACAGCACUUCAUCCAUUUGCUUCAAUCCCUAUCUAGAGGGACCCCUCUAGAGA
Unclassified non-coding RNA from Ictidomys tridecemlineatus (thirteen-lined ground squirrel), 97 nucleotides. NCBI's taxonomy places the organism in Eukaryota, Metazoa, Chordata, Mammalia, Rodentia, Sciuridae. The record is from Ensembl.